GUGUCAGCCGCCGCGGUAAUACGUAGGGGGCGAGCGUUGUCCGGAUUCAUUGGGCGUAAAGAGCUCGUAGGCGGCUUGGCGAGUCGGGUGUGAAAACUCCAGGCUCAACCUGGAGAUGCCACCCGAUACUGCUAUGGCUUGAGUUCGGUAGGGGACCACGGAAUUCCUGGUGUAGCGGUGAAAUGCGCAGAUAUCAGGAGGAACACCGGUGGCGAAGGCGGUGGUCUGGGCCGACACUGACGCUGAGGAGCGAAAGCGUGGGGAGCGAACAGGAUUAGAAACCCGUGUAGUCC
This 293-nucleotide ribosomal RNA is filed under the name uncultured bacterium. RNAcentral describes it as "partial 16S ribosomal RNA". It matches the Rfam family "Bacterial small subunit ribosomal RNA", at positions 505 to 796 of the family's 1533-position model. The record is from RNAcentral.